Molecule: unclassified non-coding RNA, 191 nt
Filed under: Glomus sp.
Lineage: Eukaryota; Fungi; Glomeromycota; Glomeromycetes; Glomerales; Glomeraceae
Description: partial contains 5.8S ribosomal RNA and internal transcribed spacer 2
Rfam family: 5.8S ribosomal RNA (bases 1-71)
Source: RNAcentral
GUGAAUCAUCGAAUUUUUGAACGCAAAUUGCACUCUCUGGUAUUCCGGAGAGUAUGCCUGUUUGAGGAUCAGUUUAAAUAAAAAUCUGUGUAGUUGCUGCCUUUCGUGGUGACGCAUGGGAUUUGGGUCGUUUGUCCUUCGGUGUAGAUCUCUAAAAUUUAGCAAAAAUUUUUUCGAAGGGAUUUAAAUGU